GACGAACGCUGGCGGCGUGCUUAACACAUGCAAGUCGAACGGAAAGGCCCCUUUGGGGGUACUCGAGUGGCGAACGGGCGAGUAACACGUGAGUAACCUGCCCUUGACUUCGGGAUAACUUCAGGAAACUGGGGCUAAUACCGGAUAGGAAUCCUUGCUGCAUGGUGGGGGUUGGAAAGCUUCGGCGGUUUUGGGUGGGCUCGCGGCGUAUCCGCUUGUUGGUGGGGUAGUGGCUUACCAAGGCUUUGACGGGUAGCCGGCCUGAGAGGGCGACCGGCCACAUUGGGACUGAGAGACGGCCCAGACGCCUACGGGAGGCAGCAGUGGGGAAUAUUACACAAGGGGCGGAAGCCGGAUGCAGCAACGCCGCGUGCGGGAUGACGGCCUUCGGGUUGGAAACCGCGUUCAGCAGGGGCGAAGCUUGUGGUGACGGUACCUGCAGAAGAAGCACCGGCUAACUACGUG
RNAcentral lists this ribosomal RNA (465 nucleotides) under uncultured bacterium. RNAcentral's name for it is "partial 16S ribosomal RNA". It matches the Rfam family "Bacterial small subunit ribosomal RNA", at positions 28 to 507 of the family's 1533-position model. The record is from RNAcentral.